Molecule: long non-coding RNA, 276 nt
Filed under: Nicotiana benthamiana
Lineage: Eukaryota; Viridiplantae; Streptophyta; Magnoliopsida; Solanales; Solanaceae
Description: long non-coding RNA (NBEN_LNC025467)
Source: RNAcentral
ACAUGAUGUUACAUGAUUGUACACACUGUAUAUACACUGUAUAUUUAUUGUAUUCUAUGGUAUACACUGUAUGGGCUGUGAUGAUUACUUGUUAUUUGGGCCACAUCUGUACCGAGCCAAAUUUUAUUUCUGAGCCCCAUUUUCAUUACCUCCAUUGGGUCGUCUGACCCAACCCAAUGACUCAUGUAUAUAUACUUGUACCUCAGAUAUUUUGUGAUGCAGAUUUCAUUUUAUUCUCAUUUCACUUAAUAAAACUCUCUAGAUUCCAGAGCCUUA